CAUCAUUUAAAGUACUGAAGGGAUCUUUUUGUUUGAACUCAGAUAAUGUAAGCCUUCUCAUUAAGAAGCUGCUUCCUCAUUGGUUUAUGACAAAAUCUGAGUGCAAUUUCCUGUCCCCACAACACUACUGGUUUCUCUUCUUGAUACAAGCAGAUUUGCCAGCCUCCUCAGUCAAGAGCAGCAUCACUCCCGAAAUGGAAACAGGACACUUUUAGAAGGAUGCCAAAGUGUAUGAAAAUAAAAUCCACGCCCUCAUAUUUGCACCAAUCUCCAAUCUCCUGUAAGAUUCAAAAGGACAAAUUGAGAGGGUGUGAGUGACCUUUCGAGAAAACUAAGCAGCCCAUGAUAUUGAGCACAAAGACUUCUGAUGGUUAAAUUCAGCUCACUGCUCUAAGUCACCCCCCUCAGGAGCCUGGAUUCUGAGUUCUGGUGGUGAGAGUCUAUGUGAAAAAAAAUUUGAUCUGUA
Molecule: long non-coding RNA, 466 nt
Filed under: Cricetulus griseus (Chinese hamster)
Lineage: Eukaryota; Metazoa; Chordata; Mammalia; Rodentia; Cricetidae
Description: lncRNA (ENSCGRG00000025627.1)
Source: RNAcentral